CAGCCGCCACGGUAAUACGUAGGGUGCGAGCGUUAAUCGGAAUUACUGGGCGUAAAGCGUGCGCAGGCGGUUCGUUAAGACAGAUGUGAAAUCCCCGGGCUUAACCUGGGAACUGCAUUUGUGACUGGCGAGCUGGAGUAUGGCAGAGGGGGGUAGAAUUCCACGUGUAGCAGUGAAAUGCGUAGAGAUGUGGAGGAAUACCGAUGGCGAAGGCAGCCCCCUGGGCCAAUACUGACGCUCAUGCACGAAAGCGUGGGGAGCAAACAGGAUUAGAUACCCCGGUAGUCCCUGUCUCUUAUAC
This 301-nucleotide ribosomal RNA is filed under the name uncultured bacterium. RNAcentral describes it as "partial 16S ribosomal RNA". It matches the Rfam family "Bacterial small subunit ribosomal RNA", at positions 509 to 807 of the family's 1533-position model. The record is from RNAcentral.